Molecule: ribosomal RNA, 586 nt
Filed under: Bipolaris sorokiniana
Lineage: Eukaryota; Fungi; Ascomycota; Dothideomycetes; Pleosporales; Pleosporaceae
Description: eukaryotic LSU rRNA
Rfam family: 5.8S ribosomal RNA (bases 202-355)
Source: RNAcentral
UCCGUAGGUGAACCUGCGGAGGGAUCAUUACACAACAAAAUAUGAAGGCCUGGCUUCGCGGCCGGCUGAAAUAUUUUUUUCACCCAUGUCUUUUGCGCACUUGUUGUUUCCUGGGCGGGUUCGCCCGCCACCAGGACCAAACCAUAAACCUUUUUUUUAUGCAGUUGCAAUCAGCGUCAGUAAAAACAAUGUAAUUAUUACAACUUUCAACAACGGAUCUCUUGGUUCUGGCAUCGAUGAAGAAAGCAGCGAAAUGCGAUACGUAGUGUGAAUUGCAGAAUUCAGUGAAUCAUCGAAUCUUUGAACGCACAUUGCGCCCCUUGGUAUUCCAAAGGGCAUGCCUGUUCGAGCGUCAUUUGUACCUUCAAGCUUUGCUUGGUGUUGGGCGUUUUUUGUCUCCCUCUUUCUGGGAGACUCGCCUUAAAACGAUUGGCAGCCGGCCUACUGGUUUCGGAGCGCAGCACAUAUUUUGCGCUUUGUAUCAGGAGAAAAGGACGGUAAUCCAUCAAGACUCUACAUUUUUAACUUUUGACCUCGGAUCAGGUAGGGAUACCCGCUGAACUUAAGCAUAUCAAUAAGCGGAGGA